This 497-nucleotide ribosomal RNA is filed under the name uncultured bacterium. RNAcentral's name for it is "partial 16S ribosomal RNA". It matches the Rfam family "Bacterial small subunit ribosomal RNA", at positions 28 to 507 of the family's 1533-position model. The record is from RNAcentral.
GAUGAACGCUGGCGGCGUGCCUAAUACAUGCAAGUCGAGCGAACGGACGAGAAGCUUGCUUCUCUGAUGUUAGCGGCGGACGGGUGAGUAACACGUGGAUAACCUACCUAUAAGACUGGGAUAACUUCGGGAAACCGGAGCUAAUACCGGAUAAUAUUUUGAACCGCAUGGUUCAAAAGUGAAAGACGGUCUUGCUGUCACUUAUAGAUGGAUCCGCGCUGCAUUAGCUAGUUGGUAAGGUAACGGCUUACCAAGGCAACGAUGCAUAGCCGACCUGAGAGGAUGAUCGGCCACACUGGAACUGAGACACGGUCCAGACUCCUACGGGAGGCCGCAGUAGGGAAUCUUCCGCAAUGGGCGAAAGCCUGACGGAGCAACGCCGCGUGAGUGAUGAAGGUCUUCGGAUCGUAAAACUCUGUUAUUAGGGAAGAACAUAUGUGUAAGUAACUGUGCACAUCUUGACGGUACCUAAUCAGAAAGCCACGGCUAACUACGUG